GCCAGGCACUGUAUUCAGAAUCUCUUCGGUCAGUUUGGCUUUUUCAGCCAAGGCACUCAGAACAGCUGUUCUUUCCUACACGAGACAGAGGAAGAGGACUAAAAAAAGGGAAGAAGACUGGGAUACUAGCCAAUAAUAAUAUUAAUAA
Molecule: long non-coding RNA, 148 nt
Organism: Carassius auratus (goldfish)
Lineage: Eukaryota; Metazoa; Chordata; Actinopteri; Cypriniformes; Cyprinidae
Exons: 3
Source: RefSeq, a predicted model, not a curated record